AUUGAACGCUGGCGGCAGGCCUAACACAUGCAAGUCGAGCGGAUGAAGGGAGCUUUCGCCUGGUUUCAGCGGCGGACGGGUGAGUGAUGCCUAUGAAUCUGCCGGGUAGGGGUGGAGAACGUCCUGAGACGGGCGCUAAUACCACAUACGACGUGAGGGAGAAAGUGGGGGAGGUUCGGACCGCACGCGAUCAGAGGAGCGUAGGUCGGAUUAGCUAGUUGGUGGGGUGAGGGCCGACCAAGGCGAGGAUCCGUAACUGGUCGGAGUGGCUGGUCAGUCGCCCUGGAACUUAGACACGGUCCAGAGUCCUGCGGGAGGGCCCAGUGUGCAAUGUUGGACAAUGGGCGGAAGUCUGGUACAGCCAUGCCGCGCGUGUGAAGAAGGUCUUCCGAUUGUAAAGCACUUUAAGUUGGGAGGAAGGGCAGUAAGUUAAUACCUUGCUGUUUUGACGUUACCAACAGAAUAAGCACCGGCUAACUUCGUG
This 484-nucleotide ribosomal RNA is filed under the name uncultured bacterium. RNAcentral's name for it is "partial 16S ribosomal RNA". It matches the Rfam family "Bacterial small subunit ribosomal RNA", at positions 30 to 507 of the family's 1533-position model. The record is from RNAcentral.